Non-coding RNA from Sus scrofa (pig), 1493 nucleotides. The record is from RefSeq and is a predicted model, not a curated record. Lineage: Eukaryota; Metazoa; Chordata; Mammalia; Artiodactyla; Suidae.
GUUGUAGUCGGUAAGUGAAGUUUGCGGGGUUAUUGGAAGCGGGAAACGUCAGGCCGUAGGACGGGAAGAAGUGAGGCCGCACUGGGCUGAGCUAAGAGCACCUUGAAAAGUAAGGCCCAGGGCUUAUAUUGAGAGCAUCUGUGGCGGGAUUUACAUUUCUUCCUGAAAGGACCACUUUCCAAAAGCCACAUCAAAAGUCCUACUCAAACGAACUUCAGAGUCUAUCAUAGGAAGAUUCUUCAAUCACUAUGUCAACUGACACAGAUGUGUCUCUUUCUUCAUAUGAUGAGGAUCAGGGAUCUAAACUUAUCCGAAAAGCAAAAGAGGCACCAUUUGUCCCCAUUGGAAUGGCAGGUUUUGCUGCAAUCGUUGCAUAUGGAUUAUAUAAAUUGAAGAGCAGAGGAAAUACUAAAAUGUCUGUUCAUCUGAUCCACAUGCGUGUGGCAGCCCAAGGCUUUGUUGUGGGAGCAAUGACUCUUGGUAUGGGUUACUCCAUGUAUCGAGAAUUCUGGGCAAAACCUAAACCUUAGAAGAAGAGAUGCUGUCUUGGUGGUGCUUGUCUUAGUUAGACAUCUCAUAUUGAGGUUAUAUGUUUAUACUGAGAAUAAAUUAAAUGGGUCAGACAUUAACGCAGUAAUUUGAAUACUGGUUUUCUUUCUUGGCUUGAUUUGCCUGGUAACCAAGUUACUGGUGACCAGUUAAGUAGCUAGGUUAUUCAGGGGAGUCACAUUAGCACAAAAGAAGCAGGUCACCUUUAAAUGCAUUUGGUAGUGGUAAAAUGUCGACCUUCCUAAACUUUUCUGUUGCAAUUAGUUCUAAAGAAGACAACUUGCCAAUCCUGAAAUACUCCUAGCUGCUGCUCACAUGCUUUUGAUGUAAUGUAGAAAUCCUGUUUACUCCAGUUAAUUUAACUCUUUGCCCUGUGGACUGAGUAUUCAGUUUUAAAGGGCUGAUUGGCUCUUGAGGAGCCCUUUCAGAAUAGUGCAUGCAGUAUAAUAUUAUAAGCCUUCUACAACUGAUAGUAUGUUUGGUGUGUUUUUAAACCAAAUAUAAAAAGUUGGUAACAGCAACGUAGAAGUAGUACCUAUUUCAGAAUCAUACUUGUAAACAUGAGAAUAAUUUAAUUAUGGAUCCCCAUUUAGCUCUUUCAUAAUUGCAGAGUUAUGUUUUGCUGCUGUUAGAAUAUUUAAAUGUCAUCUCGAAAUAGAAAUAAUUUUAAGUGCUAAUGCAAAAGUAAAUGAAAAAUUCUUUUUAAACGUGUGCAGUAAGUUUAUUUUCUCUGUAAGAAUCAUAAAUGUUAAACUAAAUAAAUUGCCUAUAAUGGAAGUGAUUGGUUUAUGAGCAGGCUUGUUUGGUCAGACAUUAUACCCAAACUUUGGUAGACCACAGAAUGCUUUGUUGCACCUGUGAAAUUCUCUUGUCUAACCUGAAUUUACAUUCCAUGGUGAUAACAUGGUAAAUGUAGUGUUAAUAAAAUAAGCGAACACACCAAA